Molecule: unclassified non-coding RNA, 931 nt
Filed under: Hevea brasiliensis (rubber tree)
Lineage: Eukaryota; Viridiplantae; Streptophyta; Magnoliopsida; Malpighiales; Euphorbiaceae
Source: RNAcentral
ACAUAAUUAGACAUAGAAGAGUGAUAUGCACGGUUGAACAUCAUAAACCACUAAAGUUGAGUCACGUGAGGGAUAAACUAUCUAAGUAAAACACACCCUUGAAAACCAACUUGUAAGGGGAGAAUGUAUAAAAACUUAUUAAACUCUCACUGUACCGUAGUGAUAUGGGAUCUUAACAAAGAAAAGGAUUCUAAUUCCAAAAAACUAUCCUAGAAAUAAACGAGCAAUUAGAAGAAUAGGUGCUAUUUAGGGGGAUUGUAACAGUUGGACCAAUCACAAGUGGAAUCCAAAGAUGAAUCCACCAAAAAAGAGCCGCGUCACCAAGAGAAGGAUUGAAUCACACAACCCAACCACAAGCACUAUGGCGUUUCAAUCUUCCAAUAAAGAUUCAACGAGUAAAAUGGUCCACUGAGUUGAACAACCCUCAAAAUUGUAUAGUGGCGCACCUAGCAAACUCUGACAGAGUCACAGUACUCAUAAUUUCAAAUUUCACCUCAUUUAAUGGGGCUAAUUCAGCUAUUUAUCAUUACAAAUCAAUUAAAUGCCCUUUCUUCACCUUUUCAAUAUCCCAUUUUCCUAACUGUCAAUACGAUUUUGGAUGGUUGAUAUAUUCAAUUAUGUUUUAAAGUGCUGUAAAACUUGAAUUUACCCUUUUCUGCCUCAUCUAGGGUGAUUCAACUACAGCCAUCCACACUAAAGCCUUAGGCACAUUUCCACAGCAAAAUUGGUUUUAGUGGACCACCACUUUUACGAAUAUAGGUGCUCUAUAAAUCAUUGUUCUCUUUGUUGGCGUGGAAAUCUUGCACUUUACCACUAUAUGUUGUACGAUGGAGGUACUGUCACUCUUAGGCUUUUAUUUUUUAUUUUAAGCAGCCCAUUAAUUAAGUACAUUACCUCUCAGUAGUAGUAGUUUCCCAAGGCCUGCAUUUUC